UUACGGCCACACCACGUUGAAACACAGGUUACCGUAAGAAUACCGAAGUUAUGUAACGUCGAGCCCGGUCAGUACCCAGAUGGUUGACCAUUUUGGAAUAUCAGGUGCUGUAAG
Molecule: non-coding RNA, 114 nt
Organism: Acanthosepion pharaonis
Lineage: Eukaryota; Metazoa; Mollusca; Cephalopoda; Sepiida; Sepiidae
Source: the annotation of a GenBank genome assembly